This 509-nucleotide ribosomal RNA is filed under the name Arinia paricostata. Its description in RNAcentral is "partial 16S ribosomal RNA". It matches the Rfam family "Bacterial large subunit ribosomal RNA", at positions 1817 to 2598 of the family's 2925-position model. The record is from RNAcentral. Lineage: Eukaryota; Metazoa; Mollusca; Gastropoda; Architaenioglossa; Diplommatinidae.
AGCUCUUUGGAUGAUAUUUGGAGUGAUGCCUGCCCAGUGACGAGGAGUUAAAUGGCUGCAGUACCCUGACUGUGCGAAGGUAGCGCAAUAAUGAGUCCUUUAAUUGGGGGAUAGGAUAAAAGGUUGGACUAAGGUGUGGCUGUCUUGCAUAUAUUGGUAAGAAGUUAUUUUCUUAGUAAAAAAACUAAAAUGUGGCUAAGGGACGAGAAGACCCUAUUGAGCUUUAUUGAUUGUUAAGUAAUAUUUUAUAUGGAUUUUAAAAGGUGUAUGUAUUACAGCUUUUUUUUACUUGGGGGGAUUUAUGAACAAGGAAAACUUCAUUUAACAUUAAAUAAAUAUUAUUUAAGAUCCAAAAUAUUUUGAAAAAAGAGUAAGCUACCAUAGGGAUAACAGCGUGAUUUCUUUUUGGAGUUCGAAUUGAGAGAGAAGUUUACGACCUCGAUGUUGGAUUAGGGGUAGCGGGGGUUGCAGGAGCUUCUGUGGCUAGUCUGUUCGACUAAUUAUGCCUA